GCGCCGGUGGUGUAAGGCGUAGCAUCGCUGCCUGGAAAGCAGAAUGUGCGGGUUCGAAUCCCGCCUGGCGCC
Non-coding RNA from Heligmosomoides polygyrus, 72 nucleotides. NCBI's taxonomy places the organism in Eukaryota, Metazoa, Nematoda, Chromadorea, Rhabditida, Heligmosomidae. The record is from Rfam.